UACGUAGGGUGCGAGCGUUGCCCGGAUUUAUUGGGCGUAAAGGGCGCGCAGGCGGCCACGCACGUCCGUUGUGAAAUCGCUCGGCUCAACUGGGCGGGGUCAGCGGAUACGGCGUGGCUGGAGCAAGCUAGGGGCAAUGGAAUUCCCGGUGUAGUGGUGGAAUGCGUAGAGUAUCGGGAGGAACACCAGUGGCGAAGGCGGUUGCCUGGAGCUUUGCUGACGCUGAGGCGCGAAAGCGUGGGGAGCGAGUCCGG
Molecule: ribosomal RNA, 254 nt
Filed under: uncultured bacterium
Lineage: Bacteria
Description: partial 16S ribosomal RNA
Rfam family: Bacterial small subunit ribosomal RNA
Source: RNAcentral